AUGAACGCUGGCGGCGUGCCUAAUACAUGCAAGUCGAGCGAACGGACGAGAAGCUUGCUUCUCUGAUGUUAGCGGCGGACGGGUGAGUAACACGUGGAUAACCUACCUAUAAGACUGGGAUAACUUCGGGAAACCGGAGCUAAUACCGGAUAAUAUUUUGAACCGCAUGGUUCAAAAGUGAAAGACGGUCUUGCUGUCACUUAUAGAUGGAUCCGCGCUGCAUUAGCUAGUUGGUAAGGUAACGGCUUACCAAGGCAACGAUGCAUAGCCGACCUGAGAGGGUGAUCGGCCACACUGGAACUAAGACACGGUCCAGACUCCUACGGGAGGCAGCAGUAGGGAAUCUUCCGCAAUGGGCGAAAGCCUGACGGAGCAACGCCGCGUGAGUGAUGAAGGUCUUCGGAUCGUAAAACUCUGUUAUUAGGGAAGAACAUAUGUGUAAGUAACUGUGCACAUCUUGACGGUACCUAAUCAGAAAGCCACGGCUAACUACGUG
RNAcentral lists this ribosomal RNA (496 nucleotides) under uncultured bacterium. Its description in RNAcentral is "partial 16S ribosomal RNA". It matches the Rfam family "Bacterial small subunit ribosomal RNA", at positions 29 to 507 of the family's 1533-position model. The record is from RNAcentral.